RNAcentral lists this unclassified non-coding RNA (250 nucleotides) under plant metagenome. RNAcentral describes it as "partial contains small subunit ribosomal RNA, internal transcribed spacer 1, and 5.8S ribosomal RNA". The record is from RNAcentral.
GUAGGUGAACCUGCGGAAGGAUCAUUACUUACACUAAGGGAACGUCCAGGCCUAAAGCAUUAAAUUAAUGCGAUUAAAAGUCGGGGCGCCCCUAUCGGGUGUUGGCGCGGCCUCAGUGUUCCCCAAUUUCGAGAGGACCCAAGGAAGGUGCUCACUGUUAACCGGUGGGGUAAUCCCUUUGUGCCCAUCAUAAGAUGCGGUCAUAAACUUGCGCGAGCCUCUAAUUGGCGAGUGACACGGGGCAGCUUGG